AUACGGAGGAUGCGAGCGUUAUCCGGAUUUAUUGGGUUUAAAGGGUGCGUAGGCUGUGCGUUAAGUCAGGGGUGAAAUGCCGUCGCUCAACGACGGAGCUGCCCUUGAUACUGGCGUGCUGGAGUACGGAUGCCGUUGGAGGAAUGAGUGGUGUAGCGGUGAAAUGCUUAGAUAUCACUCAGAACACCGAUUGCGAAGGCAUCUGACGAAUCCGUCACUGACGCUGAGGCACGAAAGCGUGGGGAUAGAACAGGAUUAGAUACCCGGGUAUUCCACGCCGUAAACGAUGAUGACUAACCGUCGGCGAUAGACAGCCGGUGGCCAAGCGAAAGCGAUAAGUCAUCCACCUGGGGAGUACGUCGGCAACGAUGAAACUCAAAGGAAUUGACGGGG
This 393-nucleotide ribosomal RNA is filed under the name uncultured bacterium. RNAcentral describes it as "partial 16S ribosomal RNA". It matches the Rfam family "Bacterial small subunit ribosomal RNA", at positions 523 to 918 of the family's 1533-position model. The record is from RNAcentral.